AUCGAACUGUACCAUUCUAACCCCGUGGAUACCAAUUCAGCUAAUCCUAUCUGUUGUGGCUUCAUACCUGGACUUCUACCAACUGGACCUACUAUAAUCAAAUGUCAAGAUGGGGUUAUGGGACGUUUUGUUAAGAUUUUUAUUGAGAAAUCAAAGUUUAUGACUUUAUAUGAAGUUGAGAUAACAGGCCAUAAAGUUGAUGAUAUUUCUGGUCCACAGAACACGUGUAAUGUGAACGGAUGUAAACGAUUUCCAAAUGGACCGAACAUUGCCUUGGGUAAACCGACUGUACAAAGCACAACUCGAUAUACUUGGCGGCCAUCAUCACUGGCUGUGGAUGGUAGUAGAAAUGGUGAUAUUCUUCAGUCUCCAAGCUGCAGCCUUACUGACC
Patella vulgata (common limpet) is the source of this 391-nucleotide long non-coding RNA. RefSeq lists it as uncharacterized. Lineage: Eukaryota; Metazoa; Mollusca; Gastropoda; Patellidae. The record is from RefSeq and is a predicted model, not a curated record. The transcript has 3 exons.